GCUCUGACCCCUGCUUGGUUCCCAGGCACUGGGCACACUGCCUCCUGGGGCUGGGGACUGAGAGGAGCCCUGGGGUGUGCAGGGCCCCACCUGGGAAGCAGAGAGCGUGGAGGUGUCACAGGCUGCAGGCGACAGCAGCUCGCAGUGUCUGGGGCAGACAAUGGGCACUGUGUGUGGGGUCAGGGUGGGGCGGGCAGUGUGGCACCUGGGCAGGAAUGUGCCUGGCCUGUCUGGGAAUGUGAAGAUGUCUUUGCCUGUUGCCCCCAAGACCUUUACCCCACGGAUGCCCAGGCCCUGGGCAGUGGGCUCAGCCUAUGGGCAGCACUGGUCCAUGAGAGACGGGAGUAGGGGGCCUUUCCCUUGCUCCCCACACACCCCAAGCUCCUGGGGCCCUGUCCGAGCUCUGCGUACUCCUGGCCCCUAA
This 424-nucleotide long non-coding RNA is filed under the name Fukomys damarensis (Damara mole-rat). RNAcentral describes it as "lncRNA (ENSFDAG00000024225.1)". The record is from RNAcentral. Lineage: Eukaryota; Metazoa; Chordata; Mammalia; Rodentia; Bathyergidae.